This 597-nucleotide ribosomal RNA is filed under the name Sphingomonas pseudosanguinis. RNAcentral describes it as "bacterial SSU rRNA". It matches the Rfam family "Bacterial small subunit ribosomal RNA", at positions 56 to 697 of the family's 1533-position model. Lineage: Bacteria; Pseudomonadati; Pseudomonadota; Alphaproteobacteria; Sphingomonadales; Sphingomonadaceae. The record is from RNAcentral.
UGCAAGUCGAACGAGUGCCUUCGGGUGCUAGUGGCGCACGGGUGCGUAACGCGUGGGAAUCUGCCCUUAGGUUCGGAAUAACAGCUGGAAACGGCUGCUAAUACCGGAUGAUGACGAAAGUCCAAAGAUUUAUCGCCUGAGGAUGAGCCCGCGUUGGAUUAGGUAGUUGGUGGGGUAAAGGCCUACCAAGCCGACGAUCCAUAGCUGGUCUGAGAGGAUGAUCAGCCACACUGGGACUGAGACACGGCCCAGACUCCUACGGGAGGCAGCAGUGGGGAAUAUUGGACAAUGGGCGCAAGCCUGAUCCAGCAAUGCCGCGUGAGUGAUGAAGGCCCUAGGGUUGUAAAGCUCUUUUACCCGGGAAGAUAAUGACUGUACCGGGAGAAUAAGCCCCGGCUAACUCCGUGCCAGCAGCCGCGGUAAUACGGAGGGGGCUAGCGUUGUUCGGAAUUACUGGGCGUAAAGCGCACGUAGGCGGCUUUGUAAGUCAGAGGUGAAAGCCUGGAGCUCAACUCCAGAACUGCCUUUGAGACUGCAUCGCUUGAAUCCAGGAGAGGUCAGUGGAAUUCCGAGUGUAGAGGUGAAAUUCGUAGAUAU